Molecule: ribosomal RNA, 253 nt
Filed under: uncultured bacterium
Lineage: Bacteria
Description: partial 16S ribosomal RNA
Rfam family: Bacterial small subunit ribosomal RNA
Source: RNAcentral
UACGUAGGGUGCAAGCGUUGUCCGGAAUUAUUGGGCGUAAAGAGCUCGUAGGCGGUUUGUCGCGUCUGCUGUGAAAUCCCGAGGCUCAACCUCGGGUCUGCAGUGGGUACGGGCAGACUAGAGUGUGGUAGGGGAGACUGGAAUUCCUGGUGUAGCGGUGGAAUGCGCAGAUAUCAGGAGGAACACCGAUGGCGAAGGCAGGUCUCUGGGCCACUACUGACGCUGAGAAGCGAAAGCAUGGGGAGCGAACAGG